This 472-nucleotide ribosomal RNA is filed under the name uncultured bacterium. RNAcentral describes it as "bacterial SSU rRNA". It matches the Rfam family "Bacterial small subunit ribosomal RNA", at positions 355 to 825 of the family's 1533-position model. The record is from RNAcentral.
UGGGGAAUAUUGGACAAUGGGGGAAACCCUGAUCCAGCGAUGCCGCGUGUGUGAAGAAGGUCUUCGGAUUGUAAAGCACUUUAAGUUGGGAGGAAGGGUUGUAGAUUAAUACUCUGCAAUUUUGACGUUACCGACAGAAUAAGCACCGGCUAACUCUGUGCCAGCAGCCGCGGUAAUACAGAGGGUGCAAGCGUUAAUCGGAAUUACUGGGCGUAAAGCGCGCGUAGGUGGUUUGUUAAGUUGGAUGUGAAAUCCCCGGGCUCAACCUGGGAACUGCAUCCAAAACUGGCAAGCUAGAGUAUGGUAGAGGGUGGUGGAAUUUCCUGUGUAGCGGUGAAAUGCGUAGAUAUAGGAAGGAACACCAGUGGCGAAGGCGACCACCUGGACUGAUACUGACACUGAGGUGCGAAAGCGUGGGGAGCAAACAGGAUUAGAUACCCGCGUAGUCCCUGAGCGGGCUGGCAAGGCGCAU